Acanthamoeba castellanii str. Neff is the source of this 302-nucleotide non-coding RNA. It matches the Rfam family "Metazoan signal recognition particle RNA". From Rfam's summary of the family: The signal recognition particle (SRP) is a universally conserved ribonucleoprotein. It is involved in the co-translational targeting of proteins to membranes. The record is from Rfam. Lineage: Eukaryota; Discosea; Longamoebia; Acanthamoebidae.
GCCGGCCCGCCUAAGCAGCGGGCUGUAACCGUGCUUGCGGGGCAUGUGGGUGGAGGGAUUGGUGGCGUGCGUAGACGAGCGAGGGUUUAGGCCCACGCCGAAGGCCGCUGCCCCAUUCCAGAAGGAGACUCGACAUUGUGGCCCUCUCGGAGGGGAGGGCUUCAAGGUCGAUGAUGAGCGUCGCACCGCCUCAGGCUGGUUGACAGAGCAGGGAAAAGACGCCGGUCCCCUUGGUGGAGGGAUCACAGCCCUGAGUGGGUCCUCUCGGGAAGCUGCGUAUCGACUCCAACACCUCCACUUUU